UAAGUCGUGAUGAGUUUUUCUAUCAGUACAGAUAAUCUGGAAAAACUCGUCAUGACUGAUA
This 61-nucleotide microRNA precursor is filed under the name Ornithorhynchus anatinus (platypus). Its description in RNAcentral is "Oan-Mir-1422-P8_pre stem-loop". The record is from RNAcentral. Lineage: Eukaryota; Metazoa; Chordata; Mammalia; Monotremata; Ornithorhynchidae.